UACAGAGGGGGCAAGCGUUGUUCGGAAUUACUGGGCGUAAAGGGCGCGUAGGCGGCCUGUUAAGUCGAACGUGAAAUCCCCGGGCUCAACCCGGGAACUGCGUCCGAUACUGGCAGGCUUGAAUCCGGGAGAGGGAUGCGGAAUUCCAGGUGUAGCGGUGAAAUGCGUAGAUAUCAGGAGGAACACCGGUGGUGUAGACGGCUUUCUGGACCGUAACUGACGCUGAGACACGAAAGCGUGGGUAGCAAACAGG
This 253-nucleotide ribosomal RNA is filed under the name uncultured bacterium. Its description in RNAcentral is "partial 16S ribosomal RNA". It matches the Rfam family "Bacterial small subunit ribosomal RNA", at positions 524 to 776 of the family's 1533-position model. The record is from RNAcentral.